GACGAACGCUGGCGGCGUGCCUAAUACAUGCAAGUCGAACGGGAGCGACCGGUGCUUGCCCUGGUCAAUCUAGUGGCGAACGGGUGAGUAACACGUGGGUAACCUGCCCAUCAGAGGGGGAUAACAUCCGGAAACGGAUGCUAAAACCGCAUAGGUCUUCGAACCGCAUGGUUUGAAGAGGAAAAGAGGCGCAAGCUUCUGCUGAUGGAUGGACCCGCGGUGCAUUAGCUAGUUGGUGAGGUAACGGCUCACCAAGGCCGUGAUGCAUAGCCGACCUGAGAGGGUGAUCGGCCACAUUGGGACUGAGACACGGCCCAGACUCCUACGGGAGGCAGCAGUAGGGAAUCUUCCGCAAUGGACGCAAGUCUGACGGAGCAACGCCGCGUGAGUGAAGAAGGUCUUCGGAUCGUAAAACUCUGUUGUUAGAGAAGAACAAGUGCUAGAGUAACUGUUAGCGCCUUGACGGUAUCUAACCAGAAAGCCACGGCUAACUACGUG
RNAcentral lists this ribosomal RNA (498 nucleotides) under uncultured bacterium. RNAcentral's name for it is "partial 16S ribosomal RNA". It matches the Rfam family "Bacterial small subunit ribosomal RNA", at positions 28 to 507 of the family's 1533-position model. The record is from RNAcentral.